Acanthosepion pharaonis is the source of this 112-nucleotide non-coding RNA. Lineage: Eukaryota; Metazoa; Mollusca; Cephalopoda; Sepiida; Sepiidae. The record is from the annotation of a GenBank genome assembly.
ACAGCCACAACACGAUGAAUCACAGCUUCACAUACGAUCACCGAAGUUAAGCAAUGUCGAGCCUAGUCAGUACCCAGAUGAGUGACCGUUUGGGAAUAUUAGGGGUUGUAAG